This is a non-coding RNA of Camellia sinensis, 1819 nucleotides long. NCBI's taxonomy places the organism in Eukaryota, Viridiplantae, Streptophyta, Magnoliopsida, Ericales, Theaceae. The record is from RefSeq and is a predicted model, not a curated record.
AAUCUUUCUAUUGUUGUUGAUUUAUCCUUGAUAGCUAUUGGGUUGUGAUUCCUUCCCAUUUUCCCCAAUCUGUUUGCUGAAAAUGGGUAAGAAAUUAAGAAGCAAGAGGGGUAGCUCAUCCAAAAUCCCUCUUAAAGAAUUCCAUUCUAGCUUAGUGAAAAAGAAAUUGGGCCCUAAUAGUUCAAAUCUAGCCAAUGAUAAAAACCAGAGUAAUAUAGACUAUAUGCAAAGGCAGUUAGAACUUGAGUUUGAACAUGAUGAUUUUGACAUUGAAGAGACCUACUGUGAUGCCCCUGAAGCUUACAAUGCCAUGGUGGGUUCUAGUGUUUGCCAGGGCUCUUCUUCAGAACAAGGCCUGGGCAAAACAACUGUCCCAAAACCAAUGGGGGAUAUUGAGACAGCAACAAAGGGAAGUGCCCCAACCACAAAUGUGCAGGACUACAAUGAGGCAAAAGGGCAUGCUCAGGUCCGAAUGUCAUGUGUAGAGGGUUUGGUGGAUGUGGCUUCUAUGGACUCUCAGACUGAAGCAGAAAUGGUCCAAAGCCAUAGUUCCAAUGGAUUGGGAUAUGAAGAACUGUUCGAAAUCAAAGUGGAAGUUCCUUGGAAACCCCAAGUGUGUGGAGAAUGCAAAAUAUUUGGUCAUGCUACAAGUUUGUAUCCAAGUAAAUCGAAAACUCAAGCUCCUAGUAAACUCAAACAAGGGUGGAAGGCCAAAGAAGUAGCCGAGAUGAAGGAGGGAGGCAAGCCAAAUGAAUGGGUUGAAGUGAAAAAGAAAAAAGGCAAGGACGUUGUUGAUGCUCCUAUGGUUAACUUUGUUCCUACACCUCCUCCAUCUUCAUCGAAUGCAUUUGAUAUUCUCAAUACUUGUGUAGCCAAUGAGGAGGUUUCUUUUUUUGUGGAUCUUAAGAGUGUGCUUUAAUGCGAAUGAAGAUAUUCCGAUGUAAAGGCUUCAAAGGAAGAGAAAGAAAUUGUCGAAGACGUGGGUAAUAUAAAUGGGUUAGCCCCUAGAUGAUCUUCAUGUCCCAAAGGAGCUCCUCAAUCCCUUUCAGAUGGAACAUUCAUUGUUUCAUGGCCAAACCCAUCUUCAAAAGUGGAAAACAAGAAAAAACUUCUUGAGAGAAUUACCAAUCUUAAACUUGCUGAAAAGAAGCUUCAGAGAGAGAGAGAGAACCAAAAGCUUUUCUUGGGUUGGGUUCAAGAUCCCUAGGAGUAGUACAGUGUGGUGGAGUUGGUCUCAAACUUAACCGCCAUUGGCAUCAUCUUCAAGCUUCUGCAACUCAUUCAGAGUGCAGAAGUAUUCUUCCAGUGAUUGUUGCAGGGCAAGCUUUUAGAAUUAAGAGAAGGCAUAGUGAGGAGCGGAGAAUAAAGGGUGCUCGUGCAAGAAAGAAGACUUGUGUUACUGUUUGUGGUGUGUCUGAGCUCGAUGCCUGCUCUGAUGCCUGUGCCCGCACUGUCUAUGUCAACCAACAUCAAGUGCCCAAUUGGAAUGACAUCUGUCUUCGGAGAUGCCAGAGCGAAUGCCUUAAACUCUGCCUCUUGUGCUUCUUAGUGAGUUUUUUUUUUUUUGUUUUUUUGGCCGACUUGAAUUGUUGUUUUUGUGCAACAUGCUGUUAAAAGUAUGGUCUUUAUCCCGUUUUCAAAACCAGACAUGGAUUGUUGUGUUCUUUUGCAUGCUAGCGUUGAGCUACAUAUUAAUUUCAUGAUUCUCGCGACAGAUUGCUUCACUCUGGGCCAACUUGUCGUGUUUCUGUUUCUGUAAUCUUGAUUUGUGCUAUUCUCUUUACUGUUUGGCAUGUGCUAAGGGUAUUCCAUGCAUCAA